CCUACGGGAGGCAGCAGUGGGGAAUCUUGCACAAUGGAGGAAACUCUGAUGCAGCGAUGCCGCGUGAGUGAAGAAGGCCUUUGGGUUGUAAAGCUCUUUUGUAGGGGAAGAUAAUGACUGUACCCUAAGAAUAAGGUCCGGCUAACUUCGUGCCAGCAGCCGCGGUAAUACGAAGGGACCUAGCGUAGUUCGGAAUUACUGGGCGUAAAGCGCGCGUAGGCCGUUGAGUUAGUUAAUUGUGAAAUCCCAAAGCUUAACUUUGGAACUGCAAUUAAAACUGCUCGACUAGAGUUUGAUAGAGGAAAGCGGAAUACAUAGUGUAGAGGUGAAAUUCGUAGAUAUUAUGUAGAACACCAGUUGCGAAGGCGGCUUUCUGGAUCAACACUGACGCUGAGGCGCGAAAGUAUGGGUAGCAAAGAGGAUUAGAUACCCUCGUAGUCCAUACCAUAAACGAUGAUUGCUAGAUGUUGGAAAUUUAUUUUCAGUAUCACAGCUAACGCAUUAAGCAAUCCGCCUGGGGAGUACGACCGCAAGGUUAAAACUCAAAGGAAUUGACGG
Molecule: ribosomal RNA, 558 nt
Filed under: uncultured bacterium
Lineage: Bacteria
Description: bacterial SSU rRNA
Rfam family: Bacterial small subunit ribosomal RNA
Source: RNAcentral